This 450-nucleotide ribosomal RNA is filed under the name uncultured bacterium. RNAcentral's name for it is "partial 16S ribosomal RNA". It matches the Rfam family "Bacterial small subunit ribosomal RNA", at positions 354 to 796 of the family's 1533-position model. The record is from RNAcentral.
GUCGAGAAUAAUUCACAAUGGGGGAAACCCUGAUGGUGCAACGCCGCGUGGAGGAUGAAGGUCUUCGGAUUGUAAACUCCUGUCAUCUGGGAGUAAGACCUGACGGUGAAUAGCCGGCAGGGUUGAUAGUACCAGAAGAGGAAGGGACGGCUAACUUCGUGCCAGCAGCCGCGGUAAUACGAAGGUCCCAAGCGUUGUUCGGAAUCACUGGGCGUAAAGGGAGCGUAGGCGGCGUGGUAAGUCAGAUGUGAAAUCCCGGGGCUCAACCCCGGAACUGCAUCCGAUACUGCCAUGCUUGAGGGUUGGAGAGGUAGCUGGAAUUCUCGGUGUAGCAGUGAAAUGCGUGGAUAUCGAGAGGAACACUCGUGGCGAAGGCGAGCUACUGGACAACAUCUGACGCUGAGGCUCGAAGGCCAGGGGAGCAAAAGGGAUUAGAAACCCCGGUAGUCC